UACGGAGGGUGCGAGCGUUGUCCGGAUUUAUUGGGUUUAAAGGGUGCGUAGGUGGCUAAUUAAGUCAGUGGUGAAAUACAGCCGCUCAACGGUUGAGGUGCCAUUGAUACUGAUUAGCUUGAAACAAGUGGAGGCUGCCGGAAUGGAUGGUGUAGCGGUGAAAUGCAUAGAUAUCGUCCAGAACGCCGAUUGCGAAGGCAGGUGGCUACGCUUCGUCUGACACUGAGGCACGAAAGCGUGGGGAGCGAACAGG
Molecule: ribosomal RNA, 253 nt
Filed under: uncultured bacterium
Lineage: Bacteria
Description: partial 16S ribosomal RNA
Rfam family: Bacterial small subunit ribosomal RNA
Source: RNAcentral